This is a non-coding RNA of Hordeum vulgare subsp. vulgare (domesticated barley), 124 nucleotides long. Lineage: Eukaryota; Viridiplantae; Streptophyta; Magnoliopsida; Poales; Poaceae. The record is from Rfam.
UAAGUACUCCCUCCGUCCGGAAAUACUUGUCAUAAAAAUGGAUAUAAUGGAUGUAUCUAUAANNAAAAUAAGUCUAGAUACAUUCAUCUCGAGGACAAGUAUUUCUGGACGGAGGGAGUAGAAA